AUGAAAGGUGGCUUCGCUAAGUGCGUUCACGUCCUGUGAACAACGCCAAGUACCUACGUCGUGUAGG
This 67-nucleotide small RNA is filed under the name Halalkalibacter nanhaiisediminis. RNAcentral describes it as "Bacillus sp. NH3 Bacillaceae-1 RNA". It matches the Rfam family "Bacillaceae-1 RNA". Lineage: Bacteria; Bacillati; Bacillota; Bacilli; Caryophanales; Bacillaceae. The record is from Rfam by way of RNAcentral.